RNAcentral lists this ribosomal RNA (253 nucleotides) under uncultured bacterium. RNAcentral's name for it is "partial 16S ribosomal RNA". It matches the Rfam family "Bacterial small subunit ribosomal RNA", at positions 524 to 776 of the family's 1533-position model. The record is from RNAcentral.
UACGUAGGGUGCGAGCGUUGUCCGGAUUUAUUGGGCGUAAAGAGCUUGUAGGCGGCUCGUCACGUCGGGUGUGAAAACUCGCGGCUCAACCGCGAGCCUGCACCCGAUACGGGCGGGCUAGAGUUCGGCAGGGGAGACUGGAAUUCCUGGUGUAGCGGUGGAAUGCGUAGAGAUCGGGAGGAACACCAGUGGCGAAGGCGGCUACCUGGACCAGCACUGACACUCAGGCACGAAAGCGUGGGGAGCAAACAGG